Molecule: non-coding RNA, 235 nt
Organism: Oryctolagus cuniculus (rabbit)
Lineage: Eukaryota; Metazoa; Chordata; Mammalia; Lagomorpha; Leporidae
Source: Rfam
GCCUUGGAAGAAAUCCUGAAGAAAGGUGAGAAGAUUCUUUGUUUUACACAUUAAACACAAAACAAACCAACCGAGUGAGAGUUGCCAUGGCAAUAAUGGAAGUAUGGCAUUGUUUUUUAAGGCACACAAUUUAAGUGUUCAGUUUGUCACAAGUUUUUACCUUCUUUUUGAAUAAUGCUGUUCUCAAGGAAAAUAUUGGAAAGGACUCAUAAAACACUAUCAGUAUUUAAACUGA